CAGUCGAACGGACUCAUAUUGAAACCUAGUGAUUUAUGAGUUAGUGGCGGACGCGUGAGUAACGCGUGGAUAACCUGCCGUAUACCGGGGGAUAACACUUAGAAAUAGGUGCUAAUACCGCAUAAGCGCACGGCUCCGCAUGGGGCAGUGUGAAAAACUCCGGUGGUAUACGAUGGAUCUGCGUCUGAUUAGCUUGUUGGCGGGGUAACGGCCCACCAAGGCAGCGAUCAGUAGCCGGCCUGAGAGGGUGGACGGCCACAUUGGGACUGAGACACGGCCCAAACUCCUACGGGAGGCAGCAGUGGGGAAUAUUGCACAAUGGGGGAAACCCUGAUGCAGCGACGCCGCGUGAGUGAAGAAGUAUCUCGGUACGUAAAGCUCUAUCAGCAGGGAAGAAAAUGACGGUACCUGACUAAGAAGCCCCGGCUAACUACGUGCCAGCAGCCGCGGUAAUACGUAGGGGGCAAGCGUUAUCCGGAUUUACUGGGUGUAAAGGGAGCGUAGACGGCAGCACAAGUCUGGAGUGAAAUCCCGGGGCUUAACCCCGGAACUGCUUUGGAAACUGUGCGGCUGGAGUGCAGGAGGGGUAAGCGGAAUUCCUAGUGUAGCGGUGAAAUGCGUAGAUAUUAGGAGGAACACCAGUGGCGAAGGCGGCCUGCUGGACGAUAACUGACGUUG
RNAcentral lists this ribosomal RNA (678 nucleotides) under uncultured bacterium. Its description in RNAcentral is "bacterial SSU rRNA". It matches the Rfam family "Bacterial small subunit ribosomal RNA", at positions 59 to 748 of the family's 1533-position model. The record is from RNAcentral.